AUCUAUAGCUCAGCUGGUUAGAGAGUGGUGCUGAUAACGCCAAGGUUGCAGGUUCAAUCCCCGUGUGGGACA
RNAcentral lists this transfer RNA (72 nucleotides) under Podarcis lilfordi (Lilford's wall lizard). Its description in RNAcentral is "tRNA.Ile". The stretch from base 6 to 64 matches the Rfam family "tRNA", at positions 8 to 63 of the family's 71-position model. From Rfam's summary of the family: Transfer RNA (tRNA) molecules are approximately 80 nucleotides in length. Their secondary structure includes four short double-helical elements and three loops (D, anti-codon, and T loops). Lineage: Eukaryota; Metazoa; Chordata; Lepidosauria; Squamata; Lacertidae. The record is from RNAcentral.